AGCCUGAACGCUGGCGGCGUGGCUAAGACAUGCAAGUCGUACGGUGUAGCAAUACACAGUGGCGAACGGGUGAGUAAUGAAUCGCUAAUGUGCCCCGGACUCUGGGAUAGCUGACCGAAAGGUCAGGUAAUACCAGAUGACAUAUCCUGACGGCAUCGUCGGGAUCUCAAAGGUCCGCCGGUCUGGGAGCAGGCGAUUUCGUAUCAGCUAGUUGGUGAGGUAACGGCUCACCAAGGCGACGACGCGUAGCCGGACUGAGAGGUUGGCCGGCCACAUUGGGACUGAGACACUGCCCAGACUCCUACGGGGGGCUGCAGUAACGAAUCUUCCGCAAUGCACGAAAGUGUGACGGAGCGACGCCGCGUGUGGGACGAAGUCCUUCGGGAUGUAAACCAUGUCAGGGUAAGAAAGUUCUGAUCUACCCAGAGAAGGCACGGCUAACUCUGUGCCAGCAGCCGC
This 459-nucleotide ribosomal RNA is filed under the name uncultured soil bacterium. RNAcentral describes it as "bacterial SSU rRNA". It matches the Rfam family "Bacterial small subunit ribosomal RNA", at positions 26 to 518 of the family's 1533-position model. The record is from RNAcentral.